GUGUGGCAUGAGAGGAGAGAAGGUUAGCAUUCUCCUUGACAAGGAUGGAAGAGGCUCUUGGGCUGCGCAACACGCAUAUGGGUAAGCCAUUGCCACCUACUUCGUGGCAUUUAACCAUCGUUUUGA
Molecule: small nuclear RNA, 126 nt
Organism: Prolemur simus (greater bamboo lemur)
Lineage: Eukaryota; Metazoa; Chordata; Mammalia; Primates; Lemuridae
Source: Ensembl